RNAcentral lists this transfer RNA (731 nucleotides) under Borrelia puertoricensis. RNAcentral describes it as "partial contains 16S ribosomal RNA and 16S-23S ribosomal RNA intergenic spacer". The stretch from base 103 to 177 matches the Rfam family "tRNA". Lineage: Bacteria; Pseudomonadati; Spirochaetota; Spirochaetia; Spirochaetales; Borreliaceae. The record is from RNAcentral.
UACUGGAAGUGUGGCUGGAUCACCUCCUUUCUAAGAGAAAGAAAUUAUUAUACGGCAAAUUAUUAUUUUAACUCUUCCUUUGUCUUUUCAGAGACUUUUUUUGGGGGUUUAGCUCAGUUGGUUUAGAGCAUCGGCUUUGCAAGCCGGGGGUCAAGGGUUCGAAUCCCUUAACCUCCAUUUGUUUAUUGUAAAAGUGAAUGAAUGGAGGUUAUGGUUUUAAAGAUUAACUUGUGUUGUAUCAAUUGAAAGCUAGCUUUAAGAAUUAAAAAAAAUCCUAUUAAAAUUUUGAUUUUCAGAUAAAAUGUUUUUUAUGUUUAAUGAUUUAUUUAGAGUAAAUUCUCAUUUAUAAGAUAAGCAAUAUAAGAAGUAAGGGUAUUACUUAUUUAUUUUUUUGUUUGAAUUAAAUUAUUUUAUUUAAGUUGUUUUAAAAUUUUUUAGCUUGUAGGAAAUAAUUUUUACUUCAUGCAAAUUUUAAGAUAUUUGAUGUUUUUGUUUGUUUUGAGUGAGUAAAUAUAAUAUAUGGUUUGCUAUUUUAGCACAUGGUUUUAUAUUACUUGUUGUCUUGAUGAUUUUGUUGAUAAAUUUAAAUAGACUUAACAAAUUUUUAUUGCAUACGGCAAGCUUGAUUGAAGCUCAAAAAUGCAUCUUUGAAUUAUUUUGUUGAGAUUACUAAAUGUUUAGUAGGAGUUGAGUUUAUUCAAUUGGGACCAGGAGGAGUGAACCUCCGACCU